This 19816-nucleotide long non-coding RNA is filed under the name Lactuca sativa (garden lettuce). RNAcentral describes it as "long non-coding RNA (LSAT_LNC008171)". Lineage: Eukaryota; Viridiplantae; Streptophyta; Magnoliopsida; Asterales; Asteraceae. The record is from RNAcentral.
UCAAAUGCAUCGUUAUACAGUAAAUUGUGGCCAAAUUACGAACCUAGUCGUCAAUGUUUAUUUGAAAUUAAAAAUAUACCCUCCUUCCUUAGGGAGGCCAAGCCCAUAUCCGUUAUUUUCUAUGAAGCCGAAGGACAUAACUGGAAAUUGCAAUGACUAUAAAUCCCCGAUAUCGAACAAAGGCACACCAAAAUUGGGGAUCUGAAGAUGAUGCUCGGAAAAACAAAGGAGGCUCCGGCGAGAGAGACGGGAAGUUUCGAAAGGGUGGUUGCCCCUCUCUUGCCAACCCAUAAUCGGAUCUGAUCCGAUCAUGUUGAGCCGGUGAGUCUAUCCCCUCUUUCGUCAUAAAACAACAGCCCUUGAAAAAAAUAAAAAUAAAUAAAUAAAUAUAUAUAUAUAUAUAUAUAUAGAAAAGGUUCUUUUUUUCAUAAUCAUAGCUCUACAUUUUUUGAAAUGAGGAGAAUUGUGAGCAAUGACAUUGGAUAAAAGAUGUUGUGUACAAAUUACUUCCCAUAAAGAAAAAAGGUCUAUUGUGUUUUUGUGUGUUUAUAUAUGUAACUGCGAUGGUAUUUUGAGAUGGCGAUGAUAUUUGAUUUCUGUAAGGAUUGUUAUCCGGGCAUCAUUAAUCGGGCACAGGGUGAAACUCGGCCCGUAUCUUGGCGGGGCAACCCGGAUGGCAUGCUUACGUGCAACCGGUGUUGCAGCCAUGGCGGUGUCCGACCCCUUUGUUUGACUUCAACUUACAGAUCUGAGCCUAAUUCUCUUCACUUGAUUUUUCAAAUGCUUUAAUUUUGUAAUUCAUUAUGUUUUAAAUUACUCCUUUUCCAAAGAGUAUUUUUAUCUAAACAUAAUACAAACAUGUCAAACUAAUAAAAAUAAAAGUAAUUGCUCCAGCUUACAACUUUUUUUUUUUUUUUUUUUUUGUUAUGACAUGCCCAUAUUUAGUUUUUUCAAUAAAAUUUUAUUUUGCAUCAAGAUAAAAGUGCAUGCAACACCAUAUCAUCUAUAAUUAUACAUGCAUUUUAACAUUCCGUUUUUAGGGGUUUACUUUGUAUGAAGUUGAUAAUAGUUACUUUGUAUGAAGUUGGAAAAUACAAAUUUAUAGUAAAAGUUGUAAAAUGGUUAUGAAGUUGAUAAUAGUUAAGAUAAUUUGAUAACAUGUGAAGAAAUGUUUUUUUGUACACAAAGUAUCAUACUAUAGUUAAAAUUCUGAUUCUCAUUACAAUGUUGGUAUCUCUUAAAUGCUUUAAAGUUCUAAAAUACUGUAAAAAUACAUCAAAAUGGUAUUUUAGAUUUUUUAUAGUAAAGUAAUUUGUCAACUUAAAUAAAUUUAGUAUAAAGACUAAUUGUAUAACGGUAUAAUGUGGCGAGGCAUAAAGUGUUAUUGAUCGGCUUUGCAUUUGUUGGAUAUGUGUUGAUAUGCUGAUCAAAUGUGAAGAAAUUGAAAGCGAAUUUUGUGUUUGUUGUUGCGUUUAGUAUCAUUUUGAAUUCAUUAUAGUCCAUUUAGCAGGCGUCCAUUCAGAUCAUUUUUGUUGCUUGAACUCCUUUCGAAACUUCAUAGUUUGUAUCAAUCUCUCACUUUAGGUCUUCUUCCUUUGAAGAAAAAUACUUCCAAGUUUUUUAACAUACAUUGAUAAUAAAUGGAUGCAAUACAAGUCUAAAUGUAAAUUCCUUAAAAUUGAAGUAAACCAUUGUUACCCAAUGACUAGACAAUAAAAUGACAACAUCAAGUGCCUUUUGUUCCUGAAGAGAAUGUCAUUUUGCCCCCCAUCAAAAUAAACCACAACAACGAAUAAGACAACAUCAACCUUUUUUUAUUUUUACCUAAAUUACAUCCAUCAAGCAUUCCUAGCAAAGUCGAGCAAGAAGAGGGAAGACACUUGAAGAUUUUUGACCAUUUCAACACACCAAAAUUGCAGGAAAAGAAAGAAAAGAUGGUCAAUGCUUUCAUCCAUUCUUGCAAACAGGGCAAAUAGUGGAAACCACUCCAAUCCUACGACGAACCAGAUUAGGAGGGGUAAAGAAUGUGAUGUUGAAACAAGCGCCAAAUAAAAAAGUUAAUUUUAAGAGGCAGCCAAUUAACCCAUUGAAAUUUUAUAAAUAUGAAAAUGAUGGAGGUUUGAAGAACAUUCAACAAAACCAUGCACCACUAUCAACAAACAUUGACCACCAAAUACUACCACCAUCAAUCUCCUGUCAUCAUACCUAUUAACCAAAAGACCAUUAAACAAAAUUCAACCUAGAAACAAUAUCUGUAAAGAUACAAAGACUUGCAUAUUUUUGACAUAAAAAAAACCAUUUAAUAAUCUCAAUAGUUCAGUCACAAAACCACCAACACAAAAAAAAUGCUGAAUUGCUUCGAGAUAUGCAUGAUAACUCCAUAUUCUUGUUGUUAGAACAACAUAAAAAUCAAAUCAAAUGAUCAACAAAACCUAAAACCCCAUAAAACUCCACAAUAAAACAAGCAUGUAAAUAUAAUUCAAGUGAUUAUAUUGAUUAAAAGUUGAAAAAACAUCAUAAUAGUGAUCUAAACAAACAAUUCAUUAGUUUUGAGGCCAUUAGGGUGGUGGGUCUGGAGAGAUUGUAGCUCCGAUGGUCGCCAUUGAAAAUUCUAUCCUUCUUAAAAAAUCUCACAAAAAAUGUGAAAAAAAUGUUUGAGGAACAUUAUCAAGAAUAAUGAUGGGUAUAUGAGAUUUAGGUUAUCAAUCUCUUGAAGCAGUUCAACCUGCCGCCGACAGCUUCAACUUGCUGACAACCUCCGACCCGUUGUUGACACCAUCGAUUUCUAAAAACCCACCACCGGUUAGGUCUGCCAACAUUGAGAUGAAGAAAUAACUCCAUUCUCAUGAUUCUAUUUACCAGCUUCAUCCUUUCCAACAAUGAAAUCAAAAUCAUUUUCCAAACAAGAUGCAUAAACAACUCUAUCGUAUCCACAGAUGAAAUCAAACCUAAUAAGCAAAGCUUGAAGUCUAACUUGCCAUAUGGCGCACCCUUUUCCCUUCUUCUGGUCCUUCACCUCCGGCGCACCAUCACCCCUCUGAGGAGGUAGCGAUGAGGAAUUUAGUGAAAAAAUAAAUCAAGGUAGGAUGGAUUUAGAUGUUGAAGGAAAAUGAUCGAUGUCUCAUAUAGGCAGACAGGGAUGAUGGACUUCGACAUAAUGGCAGUGGAUCUCAGACAAUUGUUUGGCAACAUGUGUCGGUGAUGCAGGUCGUUGGUGACAGUGGAAGGAGAUAGUUGAAGAAGAAGGGGCUGAAAGAGGUCGUAACUUUGCUUAUGUUUUAUGAAAAAUUAUUAUUUAUUUAUUUAUUAAUAUAUAAAUUAUAAAUUUAGUUAUAAAAGAAAUAUGUAAAUCAUAAAAUUAAUUAUAAAAGAAAUUAAUAACGACACAAUAGUCUUUUUAGAUCAAACAAGGACCAAGUUUGCAACAAAAAUACAUCUCAAGGACCAUCAGAGUUAAGAAAAAAAUUUAUAAAAUAAACGCACAGAUUACCUCAAACCAUAAGGACGAUCCGUGUAAUUUACUCAUUCUUUUUUAUUAAUCAUGCAAGGAACCCAUUUUACUAUUAAGAUUAAGAUGGCCAGGAGUGGGCAACGACAGUUGCCGUUAUUCCAACGUGGACUAGCAAAAACGACGUUAUAACACCUGAAACACCGCACCCCACAUGCGUUAUUACGCGUUAUUGUGUUAACGCUUGAAAACGACAAUUUUUUCGAUACAAAUUCAACUCCAACGUAUACAUUUCGAUUUUGAACCGUUGUAAAACUGUCAAAAACANAAAAACAUAAUAAUAAUAAUAAUAAUAAUAAUAAUAAUAAUAAUAAUAAACAAAAUAAACUAAUGAACUUUAAUUUGGAAAUUUGGAAAUAAGAAAGUAAAUAUAUUAAUCAAAUUGAUAUUCAUUUAUUACUACAUUUAUUGUAAUUAUUAUAUUAAAGUAUUAUGUGGAAUUUAUUAAAAUAUAAAAACUCAUAAAAUGAAUAUGGAAAAGAAAUUAAUUCAAAAUAACCACAAAAUGACAUUUGUCAAAUUAAAUGAGAGUGUGACAUGUAGCAAAAACAUUCAUUUAUUAGAGUGUGUAUGUGUGUGUGUAUAUAUAUAUAUAUAUACAUCUACCUUUUUUUAUCUCAUAUCAAACCAUAUUUCAAAGCUUCAAAAAAUUUCUCUUUUGAAUACUAUUGAUCAAAACUCCAACACUCCUCAUCCAAACACAAAUACACCUCUGCCUCUCGAUUUUGCACAAUACGAAAUGUACGCGAACAUCCUCAACAUUCAAAGCAACUUUUCAAUCCCGCCUCACCCCCACCAGAAUUCCCUAAAAACCUUCCACAAACCUUUUCAACCCCAUUUGCUACAAUGCAACAAAAUACAGCACAAUCGCCACCCACCCAACAAACGGUACCCGAGACGCAAGCGAAGGGGGAGGGGGAGCAGAAAAAACGGCCCAAAAGAGAAGAGCACGAAGGAAAGGGAAAGUGGUUGUGGUUGAACAAUCAGAAGACGAACCUCCAACAUGGUGGACCGCGGAUGAGGAAUACGCGUUGGGGGUGGCUUGGUGCAGGAUAUAAAAAAAUCCAACGCAAGAAAACGAUAUGCAAAAAAUUACUUUUUGGGAAGCCGUGAUCGGGAAAUUUCAUACCAUUUUGAAUAAAUAUGAAAAGUACCGUAAUCACGACAUGUUGAGUAGCAAAUGGAAUCAAAUAAGCAAGAAGUGCACCAAUUUCAAUUCCGUCUGUAACAAACUUUUCCCCGCACAAGCAAAGUGGUGUGACCGAUUUUGACGUUUAUAGAGAGGAGAGGGAACAAUAUCAUGUUGAGACCGGUCACGUUUUUUAGCACAAAAAAAUUUGGGCGAUUGUCAAGGAAGACUCAAGUGAUGUUUCGGACGCACGUACGCACGAACAUCGACCUCAAUGCGGACACAGAUGGGAUACGGGGCGACUUGAACGACCUUGAAGAGAUCUCCCCGCCUCGACGACCGAUAGGCCGCGACAAAGCGAGGCGAGCUCAACGACACACGGAUGAAGCCGAACGUAGACGUCGAGAGCAAGCCAAAAUGAAAAAAAAAUGACGAUCACAACGAAAUCGCGCGUAAAGAUAUGAGUUGCAACUAGGGGUGAGCAUACCCAAACCAAGAAACCGACUAAAACCGACGAAACCGAAACCGAAGCAAAACCGACGGUUAGAGUUUAAAUUUUUUUAAAAACUGAAAAAUCGGGUUCGAUUUUGGUUUUUACCUAGAAACCGACCCAUCCAACUCGACAAACCGACCUAUACUUAAAACCGACAAACCGACCCAUACUUGAUUGUGUUUUGCUUGUAACAGACUAUUUCGGGCUUUGGUUGUAACUUGUAAUAAACUAUUUAUUGUAAGACUCAUGUUUUUUAAAGUAUUCAACUUAAAUUUGGUGUUUUAUGAAGUAUUUAAAUUGUUGCUUUCAUUUAUGGAAAAUGGGUUAAAACCCAAAACCCAUGGGUAUAAGCCCAUAACCCAUGAGUGUAUAGGUUGAACCCAAGAAACCGAAAAAACGUCCAAACCGACCUCAUAACUGAGAAAUCGAACCGACCAGAAACCGAUCGUAUUUGGUUCUAAAAACCAGAAACAUACCAUUUAUGAGUUGGGUUGGGUUUGAGUCCAAAACCGACCCAAACCGACCCAUGCACAACCCUAGUUGCAAUGGGAUCAUUUGAACUUCCUUCGUCGUGAAGCCGAGGAAGAUCGCAUUGCGAAAGAUUUGGCAAUGCUUUAAACUAGCGAGAAGAAUUUGUCACCGAGACGGUUGGAGGUACUCCGAAAAAUGAAGGCGAAGAUCGAGCAAGAAUAUUUAGUCGAAGAUUAGUGUUUUUUUUUCGUUGUAAUUUUUUUUUCAGUCAAUGUUUUUUUUCGUUAUAACAUUGUUUUUAUUUUUUUUCAUUGUAAUGUAGUUUUAAUUAGUAUUUAUUUUAAUUAUGUGUUAUUUAAUUUCUAUGUUUUUUAAAUUAUUAUGACAUCUACUAUAAUAAGUUAAUGUUUUUUGAUACAUGUCACAUUCUCAUUCAAUUUGCCAAAUGUCAUUUUGUGGUUAUUUUGAAUUAAUUUAUCUUCCAUAUGUCAUUUUAUAAGUUUUUCUAUUUUAAUAAAUUUCAUAUAAUACUUUAAUGUAAUAAUUACAAUAAAUGUAAUAAUAAAUGAAUAUUAAUUUUAUUAAUGGACUUAUCUUCUUAUUUCAAAAUUCCCAAAUUAAAGGUCAUUAAUUUAUUUUGUUUAUUUAUUUAAAUUUAAAAGAUAAAAAAAAUCAAUUUUAAUAAAUCAUUAUUUCUUAUUUUUUUAUAAAUCCAAAGUUCCUAAAUAUUUAGAAAUUUAUAUUUAAUUUUUUAAGUAACUCAUAUAAUACAUGAAUAUUACAUGUAGUAAAUUAAAAAAAUAAAACAACAUAGAAAAUGGAAAUUAUAAACAUUGAAAAAAAUAAAUAGAAAAUGUUAGGUGUUAUUACACUAAUAGUAUGAGUAUGAUGAUGAGGUAGAAACUUUGGGUAGAGUUGUUCCCUAUUUGGUUAAAACCGAAUUAUACAAUCAGACAAUUUGCAUUAGACUAUUUUGUUCGGAUAUUCAGAUUUUUGGAUUGAUUUUAAACUAAACCAAAUUAUUAUUUUUGGAUUUCGGAUUGGUUUUGGUUUAUAAAAUAAGAACCGAAUAGUCCAGAAAAACCGAACAACAACUUAUUAUUUAUUUUUACUAUAUAUCUUUAAUCAUUUAAAAAUUUACUAAAUUAUUUUUUAAUUAUUAGAAACUUUUAAUCAAGAUAGUACUUUAAUAUGUAAUUUUUAUCAAAAGUUUUUUGUUAAUAAAUAUUAAACUAUAACUAAUUUUCUUAAUACUUGUUUAUAAACUAUAAUUCAUAGCUAAAAAGUUUUAUUUAGUUAUUUUUAAAGAGUUAACUAAUAUUUAAAUUAUACAUUAUUUAAAAUAUUUUGCCUCUUAAAACCGAUCCAAUCAAAUUAUAAUUUGGUUGGAUCGGAUUGGAUUUGAAAUUAGUUUGAAUUAUUCAAAUCCAUAUAUUGAAAAACCUAAAUUGAUUUGAAUUUACUUCAUUGAAUGGAAUAGAAUGGAAUAAAACCUCUAUACACAAGAAACAACCUUAACUUUGAGUUUGAGUGUGAUAAAAUACUAGCAGCCCUAACGAUCCAAGCCCAACAAAAAAAUGCGAAGUCCGUAUAAAAUAAGAAAAAUUAGGUGAAAAUUUGGAGAUGAGGCGUAAUGUUGUUCUUUGCUCAAGCGAACGAGGCUCCGGCGAGGGUAAUAGGGUUUUCUGAGAGGAAUCCUUUCUUGCCUUUGCCAUUUGAUCCUGCGAUCAAGUAUGAGCCGAUGAUUUCGAUGUCGAUUCGCCACCCGAUAAUCUCUCUCAAACAUACACACAUACACAAACAUAUACAUAUACUUCACAUUUCUCCAUCCAUGUCUACGAAUGAUAAACAAAACUGAUCAUCAGCGUUGCGGCAUUCGCCUAGUAUAUAUAUAUUGUGUUAUUACUGUUGCUGUUGUUGCUAAUUUAUUCUUCCGAUGAGGCGGUGACGAUGAGAUGUAGAAUGAGCAAUAUCGGAAUUUGGUGACCUGAUCUGUAUCUUGGCUGGGCAAUCCGGAUGGCAUAUGUUGUUCAUUUGGAGAUUUCUCUUCGGAAAUCGAUAUGCAUUGCAACUGCGAUUGCAGCCACGACGGAUUUGGGCAAAAAAAAUUCGAUUACAACAGAUCUGAGCCUCCGUUCUACCCUCGCAUCAUGCGUUUUGGUCUAGGUACUUUACCAUUAUUAUUCGUUCCAUAUUUUUAACAAAUAUAUUGUCUUGUUACUCAAUCCUGAUUACCUGGAUGUCUAAUUGUUUGAACUCUGAAUUUAUGAACCCUGAUAUUCCGAACCAGGGUGACUGUUGGUUAAUAAUAUAUAUUAGUUAUAUGUUUAGUUUAAAAUCAAUAAAUUAUUUUCUCAAACCCGAUAGUAAUUCAACGAGUAUCAUGUUUCAAACGAGUAUUUAUAAGCUACGUUAUUGAAAUAUAAUAUUAUAAAUGCAUUGCAGUUACAAAUCUAAUAUUAAAUGUUCGUUCAAUUAUUAUAUAGGUGCUCCUAAAUAUAUAGAUAGAAAAAGUUGGUUAUCAUCUAUGUUUUCCUAAAUAUAUAGUUGAAAUGAUAUUCGAUUUAGUUACUAAUGAUUCUUUUAUUACCAUCUAUAUUUUCCUAAAUAUUUUGUGCUAUGUUUUGAAAAUUUUCAUAUAUUAAAAUUGGAUCAUCGAUAAUUGCAAUUGUUUUUGUCAAUUUGGAUGAUAUUAAAGUGCCAGAUAUAUUGUUAGGAUCAAUUUUGAUUUAAAAGUUAAUUUAUUAUUUUGUUGUAGGGUUUAGCAAUUAGGAUAUGUUUUCAAACACUUUCACACAAAUAAAAUUCACAACUUCUGUCCAACUUUGCUUAUUGUUACAUGAUUCGUUUCUUGGUUUCACCUUUUGGGUGUAAUCAAGAUGAUCAGAAGAGCAAGUGUCAUUGUUUGAUUCUCAGAGGCUAUAACAAUGAAUUUUGAUCUCAGACUUUGUUUAUCUGAUCUGUAUCUUGGCUGGGUAAUCCAGAUAGCAUGUGCUUGUUUUCUAGAAACUAUUUCUAUGAAUGUUACUUGCAACUGUGAAUCUGUGAUUGCAACCAUGGCAGAUUUUGAUGAUUCAAUUUCCCUAGAUUGUAACAGAUCUGAGCCUUGACUCAUCUACAAAGCCUAAUCUUGAUCAUUAGUCAAAGGCUAAUGCAACGAAUAGCAACAAUACUUUCAUUUAUUUGUUUAUUAUAGCAUCCUGCUUCUGUUUAUCUACUUUAAUAAAUGAAGGUUUUUUUAUCACUUGUCACACUCUCAUUCAAUUUGCCAAAUGUUAUUUUAUUAUUAAUUUGAAUUAAUUUUUUUUCACAUAUCAUUUUAUGGGUUUACCUAUUUUAAUAAAUUUCACAUGAUACUUUAAUGUAAUAAUUACAAUAAAUAUAGUAAUAAAUGAAUAUGAAUUUCAUUAAUGGAUUUACCUUCUUAUUUAAAAAAUUUCAAAUUAAAGCUCGAUAGUUUAUUUUGUUUAUUUAUUUAAAUUUAAAAGUUAAAAAAAAUUAAUUUUAAUAAUUCUUUAUUUUUCUUAUUUUUUUAUAAAUCCAAAGUUUUUAAAUAAUUAGACCUUUCUAUUAAAUUUUUUUAAUUAACCCAUGUAAUACAUUGGUCUUACACCUGGUUUCUAUUAGAACUUGGAAAAUCUAUCCAAUUAAAGCAAUGGUGGUAGUGGACUGGUGGUGAUGAUGAUGAUGACGACGACGAUGAUGAUGGUUAAGUUUAUGGAAAAUCUAUCCAAUUGAAGCAAUAUUAGUAAUAUUUUAAUGGAAAAGGCGAUGAUGAUGAUGAUGAUGAUGAUGGGUGUUAUUCUAAGCAAAUAUGAAGAGACACUGAAGAUUGGUUCUCUGUAUCUUGGCAGGGCAACUUCUUGAUGGCAAAGUGAGAAGUGACUUUGCAACUGUGUUUGUUUGCAGCCAUGGCAGAGUCCCCAUCUUCUUUGUCAUCAUUCCCUAAUUACAGAUCUGAGCCUAAGGAUUUUCCUGUUGCUAUUAUGGUUUUUGAAAAAAUAAAAUAAAAUUCAUGGAGUGAUUAUCAUUGAACUGUUUGAAUUUAAGUUAUUAGAAUUUUGUGAAGGGAAAAUAUUUAAUCAUAUCAUUUUUCUCUAACUUAAUUAUUCGAAUGGGGAAGAAUUGAGAGUUAUGGAAAAUGAAUAUAUAUCGGACAAUUUAAGUAUAUUUGUUUAAUUGCUUAGAGUUUUUGCUUGAAUAUAGGUUUGACAACUUUACAAACUGCAACGUCUCAAGUUAGUAUUAUAUCUGGCUUUUCAGUUAAAAAAAAAAGCUAAUUCAGUUUUUUACUUAUAAGACCAAACUAUACUUUAUAGACCUACUCCACAAGAUUUUUUUUCUUCUUUAAAUUGACAACAAAGAAAAGAAGUUUAUGACAUGGGAAAUUGAGUUGUUAUAACCCUGAUUUUUUUUUUUUAACUCUUUCAACCUUAGCACCAUGUGGAUAUGCUAUGAUAUAUUUAUGUGGUUUACUUUAUUCUUUUCAAGAGUUAAUGUGGAAUUUAUAAAAUGAAUAAUGCAUAUUCUACCAAAGAUUCUUCUUUUUGUGACCUUUUUACAAAUUAGUCAAACCUUUAAAAGCAAAAAAUCAUCAAAAAAAUUGGAUGGAACAUUGAUGGGUGGGUGGAUUUUGUGUUGGGUGUUGAAGAAAGCAAAGUAAUCGCAACAGAAAAUGGGUAAGCAUCAAGAAAUAGCAACCUACUUUGGAUUCAUUUCUUAAAAUACUUUAUCUUAGAAACAAUUGUUGUAGUUGGGCUUGCUUAAGCAUUCAUAAAUAACUUUCUAGAAAUAGAUAUAUGAUACAUGGAGAUCUAUCAUUGGUUUUCAUCAAACAUUUAUCGAUUAUGCAAUUCUUUUUUCCAUGUUUCAGAUUGGUCAAAAUUGAGGACAAAGGAAGUUUGCAACAAGUAAAAAAAUUGAAGUACAUUAGUAUUUUUGUAUCAUACACUAUGUGUUUGGAACUAAGAAAAAGUUAAGACAUUAUUCACUUUUAGAGUAGUGCAAUUCUAUGCAUUUUUUGUUGCUAAAAAGUAUGUUGUUACAAAGGGAAAAACAUGAAGCUAUUUUGUAUCCAUAUGCUUUUCUUUUAUAAAAAUGUCAACAAAAUUCCACACUACCCUUCCGCCCAAUGUGGAAGGCGGGAGACCCCCUAUUUGUUAUUAUUUAUAAAAAUUAUGAGUAUUAUUAUCUGUAAUAGAUUGUAAAUAAAGAAAACUGUUGUAGGGACUAGAUCUAAACAUAGAACCAAAGUAGAAUUAAAAAUACACUGGAUCUUAAAAAUAGAAUCAAGCAAAAUACUUUGGUAUGAACAUAUAACAAAAUUAUGUUUUGCUACUUGGACCAUAAAGUUGUGGAAGAUAGUGACCAUUUCCGUGUGAUUUUGGGAAACUUGGGAAGAUAUUACAUAAUGAAGAAAAAGUUGAUUGGGAAUGUAAAUUUGCAAGGGCGUUUUCUGUUUACUAGCUGAUAAUAACCGUAUCUAGUUUGAAUAAUGUAUUCGAUUCAAAAAAGAACGAAUGAUGAAGUUGAAAAUUAAACCAUUAUCAACAUUAAACCUCAAACUCGUAAUAAUAAUAAUAAUGUAAUAUUACCUCCGUUCCAAAUUGAUAGUCUACUUUUGAAUUUUGAAGUCUUUUUUUUUUUUUUCAACUUUGACUUUAAAUAAUUUUAUUUUUGAUAGAUAAUAAUUGAUGCAAAAUACAUGAAUGGAUUGUAUUUUAAAUGUUUUUUCAUUGUUAUAAGUUUCAUCAAGUAAUAUAUAACACAAAUAAAAAUAUUUAAGGUCAAAGUUAAAGAAAAAAUACUUAAAAAGUAAAAAAUGGACUAUCAAUUUGGGACGGAGAGAGUAUAUUAUAAGCAACCAUAAACAGAAAAAUGACAAAUUUGAUAUAGUUUGGUACAUGUAAGAAGCCGAGUAGCUUACUAGGAAAGGAAGAGACAAAGGUGGAUGGGUGAAUUACAAAAUGAUGUAAUUUACAACCAUUCUUCAAAAAAGAUGCAUAUAAACAUAUAACACAGGGACAAAAUGAUGUAAUUGACUUCAAAACACCACCCUUCAACCUUAACCCUCCAUUACAGCCAUAGUUUCUCUACUCUUAUCUCCACUAUACACAACUUAUACCAUCAGAAAACCACCAUUUACACUUAUAGCCUAAGUAUUGACCAAAUCCUAAACCUUUGCAUGAUCUGGUUGUGUUCAUGGAUAAUUCAAUUCCAAGCUCUUGCUCAUGUUGUGAUUUUCAGAAAAUCUCUCAAUGAAAGUGCAAAAUACAUCCAACAGCACUUGAGUCUGCAUAUCAAAUCAGACAUAAUAUACAUUCAUGUCACUUUUUCCUCUAGACUUUAGAUGAAGUUGCAUAAUAUGAAAUAAAAAGGAAAGUUGAAAAAAUCUCGUCUCAAUAUGCUGUUCUUCCAAUAUUCCCAAGUGUUUGCCCACUACCUGUGAAAAAAUUUACAAUCUUUAAUCUAACAUCCUAUUUACAGAUAAAUUAAUCUUGUUGUAAAUGGUAUGGUCUUUUAACAAGCUAUUUACAUAUGAAAGAAAAUGCAAACCUUAAGUUCAUGAAGAUCAAAUUUGUCAGCAACAAAAUACAUCUCCAUCUUCAUUGAUCAUCAAUUUUGUCAUCUCAAUCCUUCACCCAGCCGAUUGCAAAAAUGAACAAGAAUCAAACGAGAUAAAGAAAAUGAGACCGAAGUUGAAUGCAUACCUGGAAUCAAGAGUUGGAGAAGAAAGCCCCCACUUGCAAAAAUUAAAGGAAAAAAGAAUUAACUUAACAUCAGAGGGAGAUUGGGAGUUCAUGGCUUUGUGAUUGAAACCAAAGACUGAAGAAAAAACCCAUCAUAUGAGGAAGACGACACAUUGGCACAGGAAGGCAUUAGCGGAGGUGGAUGGAGGAGAUGUCAAAGGAAGGAGGCUGCAGGCUAGAAGGGUCGAUGGAGGAAGAGAGCGUUUGUGAUGUCGUUCACGAUGGGGGCGUUCAAGGGCAAACUAAGAGAUUUUCAGUCAGUCCAUUUUUUACUUAAGACCGAGUCAGACAAAUUUCUAUGACCGAAUCAGAGGAUUGGAUUGGGUCAGACGUGUUUAGCCUUUUAUCAAACCGGCUGCCUGGACUGAGUCAGCCAAAACUACUGACUGGACCCAGUCAGAUGCAUAUCAAACAUGCAUAUCAAACAGGCCCCAAGUCGGUUUAGUUGGUUUUCGAAUUACUCGGCGUGGUUUUUAAAAUAUUUAAAUAAUUAUAACCAAACAAAAUAAUUUUAUUAAAUUGGUUUUAGUUUUUUAAAUAUCUAAACUUUAUAAGUUUUAACCACAAAAAUAAACACAAACUACAUGGGAAUUUAAAAAAGUAGAUGCAUGAAAGGUAAACAAAACUUAAGUAAAAAAAACAAUCGGUAAAACUAGUAGUAAAACUAAUAAUGUUUUUUUUCUUUAAAAAAGUUAUAAUAUUUGGAACUAGUUUACAAAAUAGUCUCAAAUUAAUAUUUUUUUUAUAAAAAAAUCGGUAAAAAGUUGCAUUAUGACUAUUUUCUUCUGGUUACAGCCCAAUAACAAAUUAAUUUGAGAUUAUUUUGUAAACUGACCUAAAAUAUUAGGAUUUUUCUACAAAAGACAUUAAUAAUAAUAAUAAUAGAUUGUAAAGAAAAAAAGACAAAAAAAAAAAGUUAAAUCCACUUUUUAUGUGAUUAAUGUUAAGGAACAAGCCAAAAUCAUUGUUUUGGACCUGAAGCAAAAAGCAAAAAAUAAAAUGGGAGGUGGAGGGAGAGGAAAACACAUGUUUUUUUUCAUGGUUAUGUGAACAACAGAAACCGAAAAAAUUACAUCCAUGGGAUUAUGACAAACGGAGUCUGGAUUACCGAUCCAUCUGAGAUUAAGCAGGAGGCUGCUAAAUUCUUUGAAAAGAAAUAUAAAGAAUGUUGGCAAUACAGACCUUUGUUUCGGAGCUCUGACUUCCGUAAGCUAUCCGAAAUAGAUACUCAGUUCUAAGAAGAUGAAUUUUUCCAUUGGUGAAAUAAAAAAUGUUGUGUGGUCGUGUGGCAGCGACAAGUCUCCGGGGCCUGACGGUUUCACUUUUAAAUUUCUCAAAAAAUAUCGGGAAUUGCUCAAAGAAGAUAUAAUGGGGUUGGUUAAAUACUUUGAAACGGGUGGUAAAUCACUAGAGGCUCUAAUUCUUCGUUUAUAUCCCUAGCUGCAAAGACUAAAGAUCCAAUUCACUUUGGGGAUUAUAGACCGAUAAGCCUGAUUGGGUCUACAUACAAGAUCAUUGCAAAACUACUAGCCCUUCGAUUAAAGAAUGUCAUUGGCAGUGUAAUUGACGAGGUUCAAUCCGCGUAUGUUGUGGGAAAAAAUGUUCUUGAGGGCCCUUUGGUGAUUAAUGAGUUUUGCUCUUGGGAAAAAUCAAAAGGAAGGAAGAUGCUCCUUUUUAAAGAGGACUUUAACAAAGCUUUUGACUCUGUAAAUUGGGUUUAUCUGGACUCAAUUAUGGAGCAAAUGGGCUUUGGAAGUAAAUAGAGAUAUUAAAUUAGUAAUUGUUUGGAAUUGGGUAGAGCGCCGAUGAUUAUUAAUGGAAGCCCAACAAAUAAAUUCUCUAUGGAGAAAGGAGUGAGACAAGGCGACCCGCUCUCUCCCUUUUUAUUCAUCAUUGCAAUGGAAGUGUUGAAUAUGGCGAUGAAGACAACGGUUGAAAAAGGAGUUUUUGACGGAAUAAAAUUCCCAAACUCUAACAUUUGUUUGUCUCAUCUAUUCUAUGCAAAUGAUGCUUUAUUCAUUGGAGAAUGGACGAGACGUAACAUCGCUAACUUAGCGAGGAUUUUGAGAUGUUUUUAUGCUGCGUCAAGGUUGAAAGUUAACUUUAGUCAAUCUAAAGUAUUUGGUGUUGGAGCAUCUCCUAGUGAAGUAUCUAACUGGGCUCCUCCUUUGAGUUGUGAAUCAUCAUCCCUCCCAUUCACUUACUUAGGCAUUCCUGUGGGUGAAAACAUGACUUGAAGAACGCAUGGUGGCCGAUUAUUGAAAAGUUUAAUGCCAAACUCUCAUUGUGGAAAGCGAAAACAUUUAGCUCCGGAGGUAGAUUAACAUUAGCAAAGGUGGUACUUGGUAAUAUUCCUACCUUCUUUAUGUCCAUCUUUGCCGUCCCAAACGGUGUCAUCGAGACCGUAGAGAAAAUCAGAAGAAGAUUUAUACGGUGUAAUAAAUUGGAGAAGAAAAGUAUCAAUUGGGUUGCUUGGGAAACACUAAUUGCCCCAAAAAGAUGGGUGGCACAGGGCUUGGAUCUAUCAAGAGUCUGAACAUUUCCCUAUUAGCUAAGUGGAGGUGGCGAUUGAAAAAUGAAAAAUCUACACUUUGGGCAAAAGUUAUAAGAUGUAUUCAUGGAUUGGAUGAAAGAUAGUUGUCUAUUUUUUCCAACAGAUCUAGAACGGGUGUUUGGAAGAAUAUAACCAAAAUCAUGCCUUGGUUAAAGAAUCUUAACAUCGAUCCCAAUGGAAUUGUGCAUUGGAAAUCAACGGAAAGUAGUUGGGUCUCCGACUUCGUGAUCGACAAUCAGUUCUCUGUGAGAUUGUUACGAGAACGGAUUGAAAGUGCAAGUCAUGUGGUCUGUGAUGGACCGUUCGAUUUGUGUAAAGUGGUACCAACUAAGAUCUUAUGUUUUAUCUGGAGAGCGAAGUUCGGAAGAAUCCAAUCACCAGUUUCGUUAAAAUCAAGAGGUGUCCCAGUUCUAUCGACGGUGUGUGUUUCAUGCAACUCGGACGAGGAGACAUGUGAUCACAUCCUUCUAUUAUGCCCAGUGGCAAAAGUCGUCAUGAAUUUGAUUUUAUCUUGGUGUGAAAUCUCAUAUGAUGGAUUCAAAUCGGUGAAGGAUAUGUUACCUUUCAUAUCUCGGUGGUCUAAGUGCAAAAAGAAAAAAAGUAUGCUAUAUGAGAGCUUGUGUAGAUGAUUGUGGUGUGUAUGGAAGGAAAAAAAUAAAAGGGUUUUCAAAAACAUUCCCUUUAUACCGGUGAAUAUAAUGAAGAAGAUAAAAUCAACAACUUUCAUUUGGUGCAAGCAUAGAGGUUCUUUUCGAAACAUGGAUUAGAGAGUUUGGAAUCUUGGUCAUUUUCUUUGUUUGUAAUUUUCUUGUUUGUUUUGAUUUUUCUUUUUCUUUAUUUUUUGUACUUUUCUCCUUGCAUCGUCUUGAUGUGAGAUGUUUUUAAUAUAUUUGUCGUUUAAAAAAAAAGUUUAAUAGUAAACCUUUAUACUAAUCUAAUAUAUUAGUUUAAUAGUAAGACUAACUUGUUUGUUAGAAGAGGUUAUAGGUCUUUUCUCAAGUUAUUUACUUUCAUUAUCUUUUAAUUAAAUUGGUGUUUUUUAUAGAAAAAAAAAAUGUGAACGUGACAUGGUGCAUAAACAUUCAUCAAAUGACCAUAAAAGAGCUAAAAUCAAAAAUUAUAUCAGUCUUGGGGUUUUGAUUGAAAUUCUUUUUGUUUUCAGGGAUUUUAGAAUAAGUUUCUAAAAUAAUAAAUAUUUUAUUAAAUUUUUAAAGGAAAAAUCAAUUACGUUCCUUUAAUUCAUUAAUUAGGAGUUAUAGCCAUUAUGUUAAUCAUUUAUAAAAAAACAUAAAACUAUAAGUUAGACCCUGUUUGAUACUCGUCGUCUGAUUGAGUCAAAUCAGACAUUUUUGGCUGAUUCGGUCAGCUAUAGCUGUUUGAUAACCCUUCUGACUGAGAAAUUGAGGUCUGGCCCGGUAAGAGAGAAGGAAUCGGCUUACUCAGAAAGGAAGACAUCUAAUUUCACUUGUGCCCUUGCGUGUGUAUCCCUGUAAGAAUCGAUCCAACACCCCUUUUGCAUCUCAUUCGUAAUAGGCUCACAUAAUCGAUCAUUCAACACCCCCUUUGCUUUCUUAAAAUCAAUCACAGAAUCGAUGGACUGCCCCUUUUGCAGGUAUGUUUCCCCUUCUCUUUUGCGUUUAUAUCUCCAACAGUAAUAAGAAAUUAAUCAUCUAAAAUCACUUCCAUUCAUCUUCUCGCAAUCAAUCAACCAUCUGAAAUCAGAUCAGAAUCCAUAUGCUCCUAUGUUCUCAUUUUUCUUUUGUAUAUGCUGGUUGAGUAAGGAAGAAAGAAAAAAAGACAUUGAUUUUCUCUUGGGGUAAUUUCCUCUCUCUAUGCUGCUUCUAUCCUAAUCUCUCUAAUUUUGCUGCAGGAGUGGUGCUAUGUACAUUUAAAACACUCAAUGGAUACACUUGGAUUUUUUUUACUACAAUAGAAAGGUGUGCUAUACUCAAGACUAGAUGCUCCCUUUGUUAUUAUUAAGCCCUUGAGAUAUAUCAUUAUUUGUAAAUGGCAAGGAUGUGUUGUUGGUAGUUUAAAGUGGCUAUAAUUGAUGUUUCUUUCACAAGGAUGCUGGUAAUUCUCUUGCUUUGGACAAUUUUGCCCUUACCCAAGUUUUAUCCAGAAAGGCCUUUUGCUCCCAUGUUUAGUAUAGAGUUUGGUUAUAUUAGUUUGAUGUGGUCAUGAUGUUGAAUCUGGGUUUUAUUUGUCUGUUUGUUUUUUUAUACUCCUUUGAGUUAUUGCUCAAUGAAACCAAUCCACCAAAUAGAAUAUGUAUGUGUUUUGAUUUGGUCACAUAAUGAAUCAUAUGAUAAAAUUUUGUUUAUUUUAGCUAUUUUUUUUAGUUUACAUAUCAGUUACAGUUAAAAAUUUUGAAUGAUGGUAUUUGUUCCUUAAUUGUAAGCUAAACACUCAAAACCAACAAGCUUAAAUAUUCGAUUGUCAUAAUAAGUUGGAUUAGGUUUAUGCUUCAGUUUUCACUUCCAUAAGUUCUACUUCUGAUACAGAAAACAAUCUUCUAAUUCUACAUUGUAAACUUUCACAUUUCUUGGUUAAUUGGCGGUCAACUGAUAAUGCUUCAUUUUUCACUUCCAAGGAUGGCAUCAAAGCUUUGGAAUCAGCCAUUCCAUCUUUUGGUGAUUCCGUUUGUAAGGGUGUAAUUUCUUGAUUCUUAUCAACAUGGUUUAAAGGGCAUUUCAGCUAUGAGGAUUAGGAGGACAUUUACGUCUUUUUCAUAGACGAGAGAUCGAGAGAUCAAAAAUUGCAAUUUUGUUCCGGCCCCAGUCCCAGGCAGUACACGUGGUUCUAUCAUGUCCUGUCUUUGCAUAACAAACAAGGCCUUAAAGCAUUAGUAGACAAAAAGAUUUGUUAGUAAGUUCAUAAUCUUUCUUUAAAUGAAUAGAUUGAUUAGAUAUUUUUUAUUAUGCUGGAAGUUUUAUUAUUAUUAUUAUUAUUAUUAUUAUUAUUAUUAUAAAGAGUACAAGAGUAAAAUGGUCGCAUCAGUCAGAUGUACAAUCAAACAAUAUGACUUCUUUUUCAGUCAAAAUUUAUUACUCAGACAGGUAUUUUCCACUCAGUACUUUCUCAGUCAACAACUAUCAAACGGCUCCUUAAUCUCUUGAAAACUAAACACCACUAAUGCAUUGUUUUACCAAUGUUUUAAAAACCAGUUUUUUAGUUGAACCGGUAUGGUGACCGGUUCUCCGUUCAACCGGUUCAACCGUCAGGUAAACCGGUUUCUAUAAUUUUUUUUUUUAUUUUCCUAUACAUAUAUACAUAUAAAAAUGAUGAUUUGACGUUUACAAGUUCAAACAUUAAAAAUAUACAUAAAAUUAAGUUGUAAAUCAAUCCAAAUACAUUAAAAUAACACAUAACCAGAAGUUUUAGUGUUUUACAUCAAUUCAUAUACGUCGAAAAGAAAAUAAAGUAUAAUACCGAAAUAAAGUAUAGUUUUAAAUGAAUAGAGAACACAUCAAAAAAUGUUAUAACAUAUACCAUAUGUUUUUAUUUAGAGCAAACAAAAUAGAUUUUAAAAAAAUCACCAAAGUUUAUUAAGCAAAUGGUUUUUUUCCAGAUGUUUUUAUUCGGUUAUUUUGAUCGAUUCAAUCGGAUUUUUCUAAAACCGGCCGGUUCAAUCCGGUUCAGAAAUCGACGUAAAACCGAUAAUAAUUGAACCGCUCUCUCCCCGAUUCCCGGUCUAACCGGUUCGACCGGCCGGGUUAUAACCGGUUUUUAAAACAUUGUGUUUUACAGAAAUUCGUGGCCAAACUGUGAAACUCGUAAAUAAGAUAUGUAUUGACAAAUAUACCCUCCAGCCCUACGCAAGCCACACUUUUCUUUCUAAAUAUCCGAAGGACAUAAAUGGGAAUCGCUAUGACUAUAAAUACCAGCUGUCGAACGCAGACACACCAGAAUUGGGGAUCUGAAGAUGAUGCUCGGAAAAACAAAGGAGGCUCCGGCGAGAGAGACGGGAGGUUUUCAAAGGGUGGUUGCCCCUCUCUUGCCAACUCAUAAUCGGAUAUGAUCCGAUCAUGUUGAGCCGGUGAAUUUGUCCCCAUUUUCGUCAAAAAUCAACAGCCCUUGAAACAAAUGAAAAAGGAAAUAUAUAUACUACUCUGUCUCUCUGUAUCUAUAUAUCUGUGUAUAUGUGUUUGUGUGUGUGUGUUUAUCUGCAAUUACAAUGAUAUUUGAUGAUGGCGAUGAUAUUUGAUUUCUGUAUGGAUUGUUAUCCGAGCAUCAUGGAUCGAACACAGGGUGAAAUUCGGCCCGUAUCUUGGCGGGGCAACCCGGAUGGUAUGUUAAGAGGAGGAAGUGUUUUUUGGUCUUCUUUCUCUUCCCGUGCAAUCGGUGUUGCAGCCAUGGCGGUGUCCUACCCCUGUGUUUGACUUUAAAUUACAGAUCUGAGCCUCAUUGUAUUCGCUUGAAGUUUCAAAUACUUUAAACUGUUGAUUUGUAUUAAUUUGUUGUUUUCCAACUGUUUUUCAUCUAAUAUUAUUUUGGGGCAUGAUAUGUUCAUGCCACUAAAAUUUAAUAAAAGAAAUAAUUUGGGUAUAGUGUGAUUAAAAAAUAUAUGAACUUUUGCUUUUGGUUAUUUUAGACUGGGUCUCUAGUUGGUAUCGAAAUAAUGAAAUUGUCCGGUAUUUUUUUUCUGCCGAAGGACAACAACUACAAUUUGAAUGUUGGAGGAGGAUUUCAAAGGAAUUGACCGUUUGAAAACGGUUACUUCUUCAAAUAUAUAAAAAGAAUUAUAUAUUAAUUUUACAUAUAAAUACAUACAUAUAUCUCAUUUAUUUUACCUAUACACAUUUUCUAUUAUGUCACAAGCCGUAUCAUUGUCUUUUCUUGCCAAGCCGGGACCAAAACUCUGGGUCUUACAGACAAGUGUCAGGAGCCACCUCCUGGUCUUCUAUACAAG